Molecule: ribosomal RNA, 274 nt
Filed under: uncultured bacterium
Lineage: Bacteria
Description: partial 16S ribosomal RNA
Rfam family: Bacterial small subunit ribosomal RNA
Source: RNAcentral
AUACGGAGGGGGUUAGCGUUGUUCGGAAUUACUGGGCGUAAAGCGUACGUAGGCGGAUCAGAAAGUAUGGGGUGAAAUCCCAGGGCUCAACCCUGGAACUGCCUCAUAAACUCCUGGUCUUGAGUUCGUGAGAGGUGAGUGGAAUUCCGAGUGUAGAGGUGAAAUUCGUAGAUAUUCGGAGGAACACCAGUGGCGAAGGCGGCUCACUGGCUCGAUACUGACGCUUAGGUACGAAAGUGUGGGGAGCAAACAGGAUUAGAAACCCCUGUAGUCC